GGUUUACGAGUUUUUUAAAAAAUAAUAAAAUAUUCACAGUAAUAUCCGGAUAUUUGUAAAAAUUCACCGUGACCUGUGCUCUCCUUCUUCGCCUCGAUUAGAAAAACCCACCGAUUCAUGCCCGCUGACGAUGCGCUGUCCGCGGAGGAAACCAAUACACUUAACUCCUGGUGUACUGGUGACCCGAGGAGAUCGCUCGUCUCCGCGAGGCGUGAAUCCGCGCUCGGCGCCGGUUCACCAGAUCCCGCCGUCCCUGGGGGCGCCCUUACAAGAUGGUAUUGAACAAUUUCCGUCCAUGGGCGCCUUCCGCAACGGAGAGCAUGGACCUUCGGUUCAUGGAAGAGGUUGUCGGCACUCUGUUCCCGGGAGCGGCGAACGAGGAAGAUGGCAGGUUCACCG
This 399-nucleotide unclassified non-coding RNA is filed under the name Bombus terrestris (buff-tailed bumblebee). RNAcentral describes it as "misc RNA ENSBTSG00005037172.1". The record is from RNAcentral. Lineage: Eukaryota; Metazoa; Arthropoda; Insecta; Hymenoptera; Apidae.